RNAcentral lists this unclassified non-coding RNA (274 nucleotides) under Hevea brasiliensis (rubber tree). Lineage: Eukaryota; Viridiplantae; Streptophyta; Magnoliopsida; Malpighiales; Euphorbiaceae. The record is from RNAcentral.
AUCGGAAUGUACCAUAUCUUGAUUCAGAAAUUUAAGCUAGAGUAUUUUCGGAGAGUUACUGCUGUUGGAUAUUCUUGUGUGGUGUUUGGUUGGAUGACGAUUCUUUCGGUCAAGCAACCGUCGUCAAAGUUGAAUCUUUUUGGUUUUCUUUCACUUCCGAUCAGCUUUGCGCCAUUUGAGUCGCUCAUAUUCACUUCCAUUAUUGUUCCUCAAGCGAGUUUUAUUGGACAUUUAUCGGGAAUUAUUGUUGGUUAUGCUGUUGGUUGGGGUUUGA